AUGGUGCUCCUGAGCUGGGACGAGGAAAUAACGGAAGUGAAAAUGAUGGAUACAGGUCUCCACAUCUGAAAGUUAGCAGCCAAGUUAGGGAGACAGUCAAUCUCCCAACACUCAGCUACAGGGCUGAUCCAGCUGAAAAUGAGACUCACAAUUUGAUCACACGGGUGCACAGUGACAACGUCGAUUGAAUUUGCAGCUCUGACAGAUGUGUUUUAUAAAGGCCGGGGCACUGAUCAGAGAGGAGCAGGAUGCCAGGGCAUGUUAUUGAACUUGGAUGAGUCUGAAAAACAGCUGCUUCUUGCUGUCUGGAGUGAUGAGUCUCUCCUUUCCUGAGAAGCCCGUGAGGAGUUCACAGGAGCAACUUCCCCAGGAGAACAUGGAGUCUCGUCUGCUGAGCUGCCAGCAGAAGCCUCUUCCUGUGCCCCAGGAUACUUGUCUCAGAGGAGAUCGUUAUGGUACCAUGGGAAUUUUCCUAUGACCCAUUGAUAGAGCAAGAAAAAAACAC
This 505-nucleotide long non-coding RNA is filed under the name Mus caroli (Ryukyu mouse). RNAcentral's name for it is "lncRNA (MGP_CAROLIEiJ_G0006386.1)". The record is from RNAcentral. Lineage: Eukaryota; Metazoa; Chordata; Mammalia; Rodentia; Muridae.